Molecule: long non-coding RNA, 10775 nt
Organism: Bubalus bubalis (water buffalo)
Lineage: Eukaryota; Metazoa; Chordata; Mammalia; Artiodactyla; Bovidae
Exons: 4
Source: RefSeq, a predicted model, not a curated record
UGGCCCUCACCCAGUGAAGCAUUGGGGUUGUGUUUCAUUUUGUUAGCAUAGUUGUGGGCCCUGCUGGCCAGGGCAUUUUGGCCUUAGUGGGCAGGAUCGACCCCAGCAGUUUACCUUGUAAGAGGUUGUGCAGGUGCCACGUAGAGGAUGGGCGGGGGCCCCACAAGAAGGGAAACACUGGCUGGAGGAGUCACGGGGGCAUGUGGACUGAGCUAUCAAGUCAGUCCUUGAAGCAGAAAGGCUAAGCCCCUUAACGUCUCCCUUCUUCCAAGGAAAGAAUACACUGGCUGGAGGAGUCUCUGGGGCAUGAGGAUCGAGCUAGAGAGUCAGUCCUUGAAGCAGAAAGGCUAAGCCCGUUAAUGUCUCCCAUCUUACAAACCACAGAGCAAUGUGUCCAGUGUUUUAAUGACGGGUACCUACUGCUUACGUGUAUGACAUACACCCUCAUAGCUUCACAUGUCUACUACAUGCCUCUUACAAGUGCUGGGCACUGUUCUGGGUGCUGGACACCCAGUAUGUAGUAGGGGAUACGUAGCCCAGGAUCUUUCUGUUUCUGCAAAGAAAAACAGAAGAACGAAAGACUCCGUGUGGUUCAGCUUGAGCAAGUUCACCACGUGGACGGCCCUGCGUGCAUGUAAAUUGUGGUAAAAUACAUAUAACAUAAAUUUUACAUUUUACCCAGUUGACUGAAUGACUGGGUGGCUUCAGUGGAGUCAGGCUAACAGAUGGCCUUGGGGUGCCAUCUGCCUUUGUCCCAGAGGAACACUCCAAAGCUUGGUGGCCUUGUAGACCUUCCCUUUAUUCUUCACUCUCCCCAGUGGCUCUAGGUCAUUGGUCUGUGUGUCAUUUAAGAAUCUCUUUAUCCACUUUGUUGCUAGGUUUAUGUUUUGGAAAGCUUCUCAGGCGUCCCUGGGUCUUGAGAAGGCAGGCUUGGAUUCCGGGUUCUCCCCUGCUGCGUGCCUGCCAGGUCGAGGUGGAGGCCAAAGGCCAGUCUGAGUUGUGGUGGUCUGUGUGGUCUUGGGGUCAGUGGACCCCCUCUUCUCUGGAGGGGCAAGGAGAUCCUUUGUGUGAAGCCUGGAGAGACUUGACAGGGUCAGUCUUCACAGUCUUGCUCUCUUUUUAAUUUAUGUUUGCAUUUAGUUUCUCAUUUAAGUGUUUUCUAGGAGUUUCCAACUCCUAGUGUAGAACUCAAAACAUGCAGGGAGCAGCUUCUUAAAAGAGAAGGAGAAAUUGCUGAACUGAAAGCAGAAAGAAGCAACACCAGGGUCAGCAGGGGGAUUCUCACGUGUUGACAUUUGCCCCACGUGGGUCACCGCUAGCCUCCGUGUUGCUGUCUUUAAACUCUUGUCUGAUUUUCAAGUCAUUUUUCACAUCUUCCCACUGAGAAGACCAGGGUGGAUCAGUUUGUGGUUCUCAUACCUUACUUCAAAUUUAUGAUGAGAGCUAAUGUAAUUUUAGUACCUUUGAGAGGGGAGUUCUCAACUUACAUUUUUGUCCAUGCUACACUUUGUGUGGGAUCUUAGUUCCCCAAUCAGGGAUUAAAACCCAUGACCCCUGCAGAAGGGUGGAGUCGUAACUACUGGGCCCCUGGGGAAGUCCACUCUUAACUUUAGACUGAACUGGCAGGAUUCCAACGUGCCUUAGCAUGUUUCCAGCUGUAGCGUGAGGCUGAAAGGAGCUGUCGGGCCUGAAGUCAAGCAUGAGGUUGAAAGUGCCCCUUUGGCCCUGCCCUGCAGCUGCUGUUGGAGCACCUGGGGUUACUGGUUGCCCGGUACAUUCCAUCCUUCCGGAUUACAGUGGGCAAGCGGCAGGCACAGUCCCCAGCUAACAUGACCAGCGAGGUGGAGGUGCUCAGGGCACUGAAACUGCUGUUUGAGCACCACAAGGCCCUGGACGAGAAGGUACCAGCCACCCAUCCAUCCUGGAUUUGUACACUUAGUGCCUUGUUUUGACCUCACCGAGUGCCUGGAAGUGCUGUGUUCCUUCCCUCUCAAAACAGGGCUAAGGCUUCCUUUCCCCCUUAGGGACUCUCCUACGGCUCUCUAAGCCAUGAGGAAGACCUGACUAAGGUGAUUGCACUCAGGAAGUCAUAGAAAAGCAGUCACAGGAGGAGAGCCAGUUGAAGGAGCGCCUGGCAGCCCUCUCUUUCCACGUUACAGAUCUGGAGGAAGACCUGGACACGGCCAGGAAGGACCUCCUCAAGUCUAAGGACAGGAACACGAAACUGCAGUGGGACAUCCGCGAAGUGAGUGACGGCGGUCGUGUCUGCCUGAGGUGGACUGUGGGUCCCUUCUUCUCCCGGUGAUCUCAGCCUUGGGAUGGCUGCGUGAGUAAGAGCAGAGCACUGCAGAGACCACAACUGGCUGCCUCCCCACCUCUGCGUCGAGCUCUCUGGGGUAGAAGAGGCCUGGUCCAGGCAGUCCGUUGGCAGUGGACCAACACGAGGGCAGCCCUGGCACUGUGCUGCACCCUGGGUGUGGACUCCUCCUUUCCACAAGUUCUAGGGGGCCCAGUGUGCUCCUUUUGUAAAAAGUCAUUCAUCCAUUCAUUCAUUUCUUGGCGUAUAGUGGCUUUACACUGCUAUGCCAAUUUCUGCUGUACAGCAAAGUGAAUCAAUCAUCUAUCUAUCUAUCUAUCUAUCUGCCUCUCUUUUAGAUUUCCUGCCCAUUUACUUCACCACAGAGCACUGAGUAGACUUCCCUGUGCUGUACACUAGGUCCUUACUCAUGGACUUUAUGUGUAGUAUCAGUACUGUAUAUAUGUCAACCCCAGUCUCCCAGUUCAUCCCCGCCUCCACCUGCCUGUUGAAUGCUGAAAUUUCCUUCUGAUUCCCUCAGACGAGUCUGGUGACAUCUGUGGAGCCCGUUCUCUCAGAGAGAUGGGAGCAUGCUGUGUGGGCUCUGCUGAGGCAGCUUGCCUGGCCAUCUUCUCUAGUUUUCUGAGGUUCCGCUCCUUGAAGGGAUGUGUGCCAGUGAUACCGGCGGUCAGACAAGUCGUGGCGUCUGCUCACCCUGGGAUCCUCAGGCCCGAGCUGUGUGACCGUGUGGAAUCAUAAUGUUUCUGGCGGUCGUGUCUGCGGGGGUCAUGAUUUAUGAGAAACAUCCCGGGGAUGUGGCGCUGCUGGGGGAAUCGUCCCCACUGCCAGCCAGCCAGCCAGCCAGCCACCCUGUCCUUCUGGUGGGGAAGUGUUGCCCCGCGCUGCCAGUGGGCAGUGGCUGGGGAUGGAGAGUCAGGCGGGGUUGUGCUGGCGCGGCUGUUGGGAGCGUUGCCCGGAGCCCCGUGAGCAGCUGUGGGGCCGUCCGUUGGUGGGCGGCCUGCGGUGUCAGGCGCGCUCGCAAACCCUCCCAGAGCAGGGUCACUAACAGCAUGUAAAUUGUGGUAAAAUACAUAUAACAUAAAUUUUACAUUUUACCCAGUUGACUGAAUGACUGGGUGGCUUCAGUGGAGUCAGGCUAACAGAUGGCCUUGGGGUGCCAUCUGCCUUUGUCCCAGAGGAACACUCCAAAGCUUGGUGGCCUUGUAGACCUUCCCUUUAUUCUUCACUCUCCCCAGUGGCUCUAGGUCAUUGGUCUGUGUGUCAUUUAAGAAUCUCUUUAUCCACUUUGUUGCUAGGUUUAUGUUUUGGAAAGCUUCUCAGGCGUCCCUGGGUCUUGAGAAGGCAGGCUUGGAUUCCGGGUUCUCCCCUGCUGCGUGCCUGCCAGGUCGAGGUGGAGGCCAAAGGCCAGUCUGAGUUGUGGUGGUCUGUGUGGUCUUGGGGUCAGUGGACCCCCUCUUCUCUGGAGGGGCAAGGAGAUCCUCUGUGUGAAGCCUGGAGAGACUUGACAGGGUCAGUCUUCACAGUCUUGCUCUCUUUUUAAUUUAUGUUUGCAUUUAGUUUCUCAUUUAAGUGUUUUCUAGGAGUUUCCAACUCCUAGUGUAGAACUCAAAACAUGCAGGGAGCAGCUUCUUAAAAGAGAAGGAGAAAUUGCUGAACUGAAAGCAGAAAGAAGCAACACCAGGGUCAGCAGGGGGAUUCUCACGUGUUGACAUUUGCCCCACGUGGGUCACCGCUAGCCUCCGUGUUGCUGUCUUUAAACUCUUGUCUGAUUUUCAAGUCAUUUUUCACAUCUUCCCACUGAGAAGACCAGGGUGGAUCAGUUUGUGGUUCUCAUACCUUACUUCACAUUUAUGAUGAGAGCUAAUGUAAUUUUAGUGCCUUUGAGAGGGGAGUUCUCAGCUUACAUUUUUGUCCAUGCUACACUUUGUGUGGGAUCUUAGUUCCCCAAUCAGGGAUUAAAACCCAUGACCCCUGCAGAAGGGUGGAGUCGUAACUACUGGGCCCCUGGGGAAGUCCACUCUUAACUUUAGACUGAACUGGCAGGAUUCCAACGUGCCUUAGCAUGUUUCCAGCUGUAGCGUGAGGCUGAAAGGAGCUGUCGGGCCUGAAGUCAAGCAUGAGGUUGAAAGUGCCCCUUUGGCCCUGCCCUGCAGCUGCUGUUGGAGCACCUGGGGUUACUGGUUGCCCGGUACAUUCCAUCCUUCCGGAUUACAGUGGGCAAGCGGCAGGCACAGUCCCCAGCUAACGUGACCAGCGAGGUGGAGGUGCUCAGGGCACUGAAACUGCUGUUUGAGCACCACAAGGCCCUGGACGAGAAGGUACCAGCCACCCAUCCAUCCUGGAUUUGUACACUUAGUGCCUUGUUUUGACCUCACCGAGUGCCUGGAAGUGCUGUGUUCCUUCCCUCUCAAAACAGGGCUAAGGCUUCCUUUCCCCCUUAGGGACUCUCCUACGGCUCUCUAAGCCAUGAGGAAGACCUGACUAAGGUGAUUGCACUCAGGAAGUCAUAGAAAAGCAGUCACAGGAGGAGAGCCAGUUGAAGGAGCGCCUGGCAGCCCUCUCUUUCCACGUUACAGAUCUGGAGGAAGACCUGGACACGGCCAGGAAGGACCUCCUCAAGUCUAAGGACAGGAACACGAAACUGCAGUGGGACAUCCGCGAAGUGAGUGACGGCGGUCGUGUCUGCCUGAGGUGGACUGUGGGUCCCUUCUUCUCCCGGUGAUCUCAGCCUUGGGAUGGCUGCGUGAGUAAGAGCAGAGCACUGCAGAGACCACAACUGGCUGCCUCCCCACCUCUGCGUCGAGCUCUCUGGGGUAGAAGAGGCCUGGUCCAGGCAGUCCGUUGGCAGUGGACCAACACGAGGGCAGCCCUGGCACUGUGCUGCACCCUGGGUGUGGACUCCUCCUUUCCACAAGUUCUAGGGGGCCCAGUGUGCUCCUUUUGUAAAAAGUCAUUCAUCCAUUCAUUCAUUUCUUGGCGUAUAGUGGCUUUACACUGCUAUGCCAAUUUCUGCUGUACAGCAAAGUGAAUCAAUCAUCGAUCUAUCUAUCUAUCUAUCUGCCUCUCUUUUAGAUUUCCUGCCCAUUUACUUCACCACAGAGCACUGAGUAGACUUCCCUGUGCUGUACACUAGGUCCUUACUCAUGGGCUUUAUGUGUAGUAUCAGUACUGUAUAUAUGUCAACCCCAGUCUCCCAGUUCAUCCCCGCCUCCACCUGCCUGUUGAAUGCUGAAAUUUCCUUCUGAUUCCCUCAGACGAGUCUGGUGACAUCUGUGGAGCCCGUUCUCUCAGAGAGAUGGGAGCAUGCUGUGUGGGCUCUGCUGAGGCAGCUUGCCUGGCCAUCUUCUCUAGUUUUCUGAGGUUCCGCUCCUUGAAGGGAUGUGUGCCAGUGAUACCGGCGGUCAGACAAGUCGUGGCGUCUGCUCACCCUGGGAUCCUCAGGCCCGAGCUGUGUGACCGUGUGGAAUCAUAAUGUUUCUGGCGGUCGUGUCUGCGGGGGUCAUGAUUUAUGAGAAACGUCCCGGGGAUGUGGCGCUGCUGGGGGAAUCGUCCCCACUGCCAGCCAGCCAGCCAGCCAGCCACCCUGUCCUUCUGGUGGGGAAGUGUUGCCCCGCGCUGCCAGGGGGCAGUGGCUGGGGAUGGAGAGUCAGGCGGGGUUGUGCUGGCGCGGCUGUUGGGAGCGUUGCCCGGAGCCCCGUGAGCAGCUGUGGGGCCGUCCGUUGGUGGGCGGCCUGCGGUGUCAGGCGCGCUCGCAAACCCUCCCAGAGCAGGGUCACUAACAGCAUGUAAAUUGUGGUAAAAUACAUAUAACAUAAAUUUUACAUUUUACCCAGUUGACUGAAUGACUGGGUGGCUUCAGUGGAGUCAGGCUAACAGAUGGCCUUGGGGUGCCAUCUGCCUUUGUCCCAGAGGAACACUCCAAAGCUUGGUGGCCUUGUAGACCUUCCCUUUAUUCUUCACUCUCCCCAGUGGCUCUAGGUCAUUGGUCUGUGUGUCAUUUAAGAAUCUCUUUAUCCACUUUGUUGCUAGGUUUAUGUUUUGGAAAGCUUCUCAGGCGUCCCUGGGUCUUGAGAAGGCAGGCUUGGAUUCCGGGUUCUCCCCUGCUGCGUGCCUGCCAGGUCGAGGUGGAGGCCAAAGGCCAGUCUGAGUUGUGGUGGUCUGUGUGGUCUUGGGGUCAGUGGACCCCCUCUUCUCUGGAGGGGCAAGGAGAUCCUCUGUGUGAAGCCUGGAGAGACUUGACAGGGUCAGUCUUCACAGUCUUGCUCUCUUUUUAAUUUAUGUUUGCAUUUAGUUUCUCAUUUAAGUGUUUUCUAGGAGUUUCCAACUCCUAGUGUAGAACUCAAAACAUGCAGGGAGCAGCUUCUUAAAAGAGAAGGAGAAAUUGCUGAACUGAAAGCAGAAAGAAGCAACACCAGGGUCAGCAGGGGGAUUCUCACGUGUUGACAUUUGCCCCACGUGGGUCACCGCUAGCCUCCGUGUUGCUGUCUUUAAACUCUUGUCUGAUUUUCAAGUCAUUUUUCACAUCUUCCCACUGAGAAGACCAGGGUGGAUCAGUUUGUGGUUCUCAUACCUUACUUCAAAUUUAUGAUGAGAGCUAAUGUAAUUUUAGUGCCUUUGAGAGGGGAGUUCUCAGCUUACAUUUUUGUCCAUGCUACACUUUGUGUGGGAUCUUAGUUCCCCAAUCAGGGAUUAAAACCCAUGACCCCUGCAGAAGGGUGGAGUCGUAACUACUGGGCCCCUGGGGAAGUCCACUCUUAACUUUAGACUGAACUGGCAGGAUUCCAACGUGCCUUAGCAUGUUUCCAGCUGUAGCGUGAGGCUGAAAGGAGCUGUCGGGCCUGAAGUCAAGCAUGAGGUUGAAAGUGCCCCUUUGGCCCUGCCCUGCAGCUGCUGUUGGAGCACCUGGGGUUACUGGUUGCCCGGUACAUUCCAUCCUUCCGGAUUACAGUGGGCAAGCGGCAGGCACAGUCCCCAGCUAACGUGACCAGCGAGGUGGAGGUGCUCAGGGCACUGAAACUGCUGUUUGAGCACCACAAGGCCCUGGACGAGAAGGUACCAGCCACCCAUCCAUCCUGGAUUUGUACACUUAGUGCCUUGUUUUGACCUCACCGAGUGCCUGGAAGUGCUGUGUUCCUUCCCUCUCAAAACAGGGCUAAGGCUUCCUUUCCCCCUUAGGGACUCUCCUACGGCUCUCUAAGCCAUGAGGAAGACCUGACUAAGGUGAUUGCACUCAGGAAGUCAUAGAAAAGCAGUCACAGGAGGAGAGCCAGUUGAAGGAGCGCCUGGCAGCCCUCUCUUUCCACGUUACAGAUCUGGAGGAAGACCUGGACACGGCCAGGAAGGACCUCCUCAAGUCUAAGGACAGGAACACGAAACUGCAGUGGGACAUCCGCGAACUGCUGUUGGAGCACCUGGGGUUACUGGUUGCCCGGUACAUUCCAUCCUUCCGGAUUACAGUGGGCAAGCGGCAGGCACAGUCCCCAGCUAACAUGACCAGCGAGGUGGAGGUGCUCAGGGCACGGAAACUGCUGUUUGAGCACCACAAGGCCCUGGACGAGAAGGGCUAAGGCUUCCUUUCCCCCUUAGAGACUCUCCUACGGUUCUCUAAGCCACGAGGAAGACCUGACUAAGAUCUGGAGGAAGACCUGGACACGGCCAGGAAGGACCUCCUCAAGUCUAAGGACACGAACACGAAACUGCAGUGGGACAUCCGCGAAGUGAGUGACGGCGGUCGUGUCUGCCUGAGGUGGACUGUGGGUCCCUUCUUCUCCCGGUGAUCUCAGCCUUGGGAUGGCUGCGUGAGUAAGAGCAGAGCACUGCAGAGACCACAACUGGCUGCCUCCCCACCUCUGCGUCGAGCUCUCUGGGGUAGAAGAGGCCUGGUCCAGGCAGUCCGUUGGCAGUGGACCAACACGAGGGCAGCCCUGGCACUGUGCUGCACCCUGGGUGUGGACUCCUCCUUUCCACAAGUUCUAGGGGGCCCAGUGUGCUCCUUUUGUAAAAAGUCAUUCAUCCAUUCAUUCAUUUCUUGGCGUAUAGUGGCUUUACACUGCUAUGCCAAUUUCUGCUGUACAGCAAAGUGAAUCAAUCAUCUAUCUAUCUAUCUAUCUGCCUCUCUUUUAGAUUUCCUGCCCAUUUACUUCACCACAGAGCACUGAGUAGACUUCCCUGUGCUGUACACUAGGUCCUUACUCAUGGACUUUAUGUGUAGUAUCAGUACUGUAUAUAUGUCAACCCCAGUCUCCCAGUUCAUCCCCGCCUCCACCUGCCUGUUGAAUGCUGAAAUUUCCUUCUGAUUCCCUCAGACGAGUCUGGUGACAUCUGUGGAGCCCGUUCUCUCAGAGAGAUAGGAGCAUGCUGUGUGGGCUCUGCUGAGGCAGCUUGCCUGGCCAUCUUCUCUAGUUUUCUGAGGUUCCGCUCCUUGAAGGGAUGUGUGCCAGUGAUACCGGCGGUCAGACAAGUCGUGGCGUCUGCUCACCCUGGGAUCCUCAGGCCCGAGCUGUGUGACCGUGUGGAAUCAUAAUGUUUCUGGCGGUCGUGUCUGCGGGGGUCAUGAUUUAUGAGAAACAUCCCGGGGAUGUGGCGCUGCUGGGGGAAUCGUCCCCACUGCCAGCCAGCCAGCCAGCCAGCCACCCUGUCCUUCUGGUGGGAAAGUGUUGCCCCGCGCUGCCAGUGGGCAGUGGCUGGGGAUGGAGAGUCAGGCGGGGUUGUGCUGGCGCGGCUGUUGGGAGCGUUGCCCGGAGCUCCGUGAGCAGCUGUGGGGCCGUCCGUUGGUGGGCGGCCUGCGGUGUCAGGCGCGCUCGCAAACCCUCCCAGAGCAGGGUCACUAACAGCCGCCAGGGGGCGCCCUUCGCCCGUGAUCUUCCUCUUCAGGCUUGGUUUCUCCUCUCCCCUGGCAUGUCUGCUGUCCCUCCCAGGUUGGCCUUGUAGUCUGACCUUUCGUCUUCGGAAGCUCUGCCUCUAAGGAGGCUAAAUGGUUCGAACUUCCCUCCCAGCUUAGGAAGGUAGAAUGUGUGCCUCGUGCGUCCCGCACUUGGCGCUGCCUGCUGCCUGUGCUGGCUUGCCACAGGCAGUCCGAGGAGGGGGCGCAGAGGCCGCGGUUGCAGGGCCGGGGCAGGGGGAGUACGUCUCCUCUCACCAGCCGGUCACCAGCACCCUCCGUGAUCCAGGCGUCACACACAAAGCCACACAGGCUGCGUGAGCAGGCAUGCGGGCAUGCCCCCCACGAGCCCGGGGCCAGUGGUCCGCACAGAGCACGGCCCACUUGCCGCCCGUACAGUCCCAGCCCGCGUGCCGUCAGGACAGGGUCGUUGCGAGCGGAGCUGACGCUGUUCUUGGCCAACAGGUGGGAGAGAGUCACGGCAGCAUCGAGGAUAGGCUGUACCAGAUGGAGGCCCAACUGGAGGAGAAGAACAAGGAGCUGCAGCGGGUGCCUGUGCUGAUGGGGAGGCAGCGUCUGGGCGGGAGAUGAGGCUUGGGUGGGGGCCAGUGCUGCCUUUCUUCGCUGCUCCCUUCUCUGCCUCCAAGUGUGUGCCUGUGUGGCCCCAUCUGCUGAUCCGGGCACCCACCUCCUCGGGAGCAGGGCCAGAGGUGGUCGCCCAUAGGCAGUGGGCAGGAGCCAGGGCCUCCCCACAUUCAAAGAGGCUGCUUGUUGCUCUGACCAGCCAGUCCGGGGAGCUGCUUGGGAUACAGGUGGACCUCACGACUGCCCCUCAGACAAACCUGGGGUGCCAGCCCGGGGCCCAUGAAACUGAAGGCAUGGCGCCCAGGUGUGGAGCCUGCUUGCCUCGGACGUGGCGCUGGAGUCCCACAUGCCAAACCGCUGGUCCAGACACGGUGUGUGUGUAGGAUGGCUGCCUCUAGACAGGAGAACCGCAGUUGCGCUGCAACAGAAGGCGCGUCAGGAAAGGGUGAUGGUGGAGGCUCGCGUCACCGAGUCCUGAGAGAGGUUUCCUGGAAAGGUUGGCCACACGGCGAUACAGACCAUUCAGGAAAUGGACUGGGGAUCCCGGGUCCAGCCUCACAUGUCAGUACUGUCCCCACUAUGCCUGUGUUCUUGGGCCUGGACUGCAGAGCCUCAAAGAUGGACUCCCAGGGGGCAAUGGUUCUGACUCCCAUAGUGAGCUCUGUGGUGAGGCGCCCUCCCGGCUUAGGCAGAGAGCUCAAUGGCUCCCGAUCAGGGGUGCUCUUCCUUACUUUCAGAACUGCUAUUCAGAGGCUGUUGAGAUCAGGAUGCUGUUUAUGACUAAGCCAAUUCAAAGUCAACUUUUGUUUUGCUUUAAAAAUCUUUGAAUGCCAAUGCCUUAUUGUGGAAGCUGUGACAGGUUUUGUUUCCUUGGGCUCAAAAAUCACUGCAGACGGUGACUGCAGCCAUGAGAUUAAAAAAUGCUUGCUCCUUGGAAAGCCAUGACAAGACAUAGACAGCAUAUUGAAAAGUAGAGACAUCACUUUGCCGACA